RNA transcript from Rhea pennata, 3534 nucleotides. RefSeq lists it as uncharacterized. The record is from RefSeq and is a predicted model, not a curated record. The transcript has 11 exons. NCBI's taxonomy places the organism in Eukaryota, Metazoa, Chordata, Aves, Rheiformes, Rheidae.
CCGGACGAACGGCGUGUAGGGGAUUAAUACCCAAGGGACGGGGUUGAAACGAGGAGGCAGAAACGCAGCGGACCCUCGGUAUCCCCAGCAGCUGCCAGGGUAGCGGCAGGUGUUCCGCCACGGGCAAGUCAAGGUACCGUUGACAUCACUGCAGAGAAGUUGUGGGAGCUUGGAAUCGGCGUGGCACAGGUGAUGAAGGUGAAUGUGGUGACCCAAGGAAGAUCAGAGAGCGUGUGGCUGUCAUUGCAGAUGUCUCUUCAGUAGAGAUAGUGACCCUGAGAACUCUAAAAGCUAAGUUGAGGGGAGAAGAGUGUUGGAGUGUCUUGGCUGUGUGUGUAUGCCCGCUGAUGUUCAGUGCAGUGUGGAGGGCUCUUCUGGUGAGUGCUGUGUGUGAGGCAGGUGCAGUGGAGGGUGGAUGGGAGGAAGCGAGAGUGAGCUAGUCAGGGCAGCUCCAGCCUGUGUCUAUGUUCGUGUGUAGUUUGUGUUGUGUGUUUAGCUCUGCUACCUUUUGUUCAGGUCUUGAUGUCACUUUUGUCCUUUGCGCUCAAGGAGCAUGGUCCACAAUGUGCAGCAGUAGCGUGGUAGGCAUCCGUUGCCUUUUGCCUGGCGUGACUAUUCGGCAUCAUGGUGACAGAUUGCCUCUCAUUCCAUGUGGCCAGCUAAAAGGGGCGGUCUGUCACUCCAGCUUUGCGUCGUAGCCAUUUGCGGCCAGUCAUCUUUGCCAUCGUCAAGGCAUCAUCGACCACUCUUGUUUUGCGUCUUUGUGACGUCCUUUCAGGGUUUUCUUCCCUGCGUCAUCGCCGCAUCGAAUCUUUCUCGCCGACCUUUCUUGCGUCGAUCUUUCUGGCUUUGCCAGAGUUCUUGCCAUCAGAAGUCGUGGCACUUGGUUCUUUACUGGUCUUGUGCAGAGCAUCAGAGCUGUGCGGUUGUGAUGUUGUAGAGCUUUCUAGCCCACAGCAUCUUAUGUGUGGGAGUAGUUCUUUUUGUGUAGGGCUUUCCUGCGUGUUUGUGUCUAAUGUUUCUUAUCUGUCUGUUUAGUGCUGGAGCUGCCUUGCGUGUGGGUGUUAGCAACGGUAGUGUGUAGAGCGUGUCAGUGAUGGACCGGAGCGGCAAUCGAUCGGCCUCCUUGUGUUCUGCUUUGAUUUGUUGCAGAUACGCAGCGGCUUUCCCGGCGGGCUGAAGAGAGAUGGAGGAAGAAAGGGUUGUGCUAUAAGAAGAUGAGCUAGAGUUGUUUUUGGAAGGAGAGCGGUGUGGUCAACAGUUCCCUUGUUAACUUUUGCUUUGUGCUUGUAGGUGUGGAACAAUGUGCAGUGAGGGUCCCUCUCACCUGGCAGGAGCGUGGUGAGGCAAGCGUCAAUCCGAGAGAGGAAGCGGCACCUAGUAUAGAGCUGUCGUCUUGUCGGCGCCGUCCCCGUUGCCCACUGCUGUUCUGAUUUUACAGGUGUGUGGCACGCCUCGGCACGGCAACCCGUAGGCUGGCGGUCAGGAUGGGCAAGCGGAGCAGGAAGUUGUGGAGAGGAGAAUGUGAGCGGCAACAAGAAGGCUGAGCAGUGCUGGAGCUGCCUUGCGUGUGGGUGUUAGCAACGGUAGUGUGUAGAGCGUGUCAGUGAUGGACCGGAGCGGCAAUCGAUCGGCCUCCUUGUGUUCUGCUUUGAUUUGUUGCAGAUAUGCAGCGGCUUUCCCGGCGGGCUGAAGAGAGAUGGAGGAAGAAAGGGUUGUGCUAUAAGAAGAUGAGCUAGAGUUGUUUUUGGAAGGAGAGCGGUGUGGUCAACAGUUCCCUUGUUAACUUUUGCUUUGUGCUUGUAGGUGUGGAACAAUGUGCAGUGAGGGUCCCUCUCACCUGGCAGGAGCGUGGUGAGGCAAGCGUCAAUCCGAGAGAGGAAGCGGCACCUAGUAUAGAGCUGUCGUCUUGUCGGCGCCGUCCCCGUUGCCCACUGCUGUUCUGAUUUUACAGGUGUGUGGCACGCCUCGGCACGGCAACCCGUAGGCUGGCGGUCAGGAUGGGCAAGCGGAGCAGUCUUUUCUCCGGUUUUGCAGGAAGUUGUGGAGAGGAGAAUGUGAGCGGCAACAAGAAGGCUGAGCAGGUACUGUGUGGGCUUUUCCCAGGAAUGUUUCAGUGUUUGAGGUUAGGUAGAAUGGGUGCCAUGGGUGUUCUCGCAGCCACUAUGGAGCGUGGAAUCGGUGCGGUGCAGGUGAGCAGAGCAAUUAUAACAAUUGCGGGGAGGGUGCCGUCGCAGAAGAGGCCGGAGCCGACCGGCACAGCGGUGACCGCUCGCGCUCCAGUUUGGCAAGCGACGAAGGCGAACGUGGCGACUGAAGGAAGAUCGGAGAGGAUGCAACCGUUAUCGAGGCUGACUCGUGAGGACAGACGGUGAUUCGCAGUACUCCAAAAACGAAAUUGAGGGGCAAAGAGUGCGUGUGGGGUGUAUAUGUGCACACUGACAUUCAGCAUAGUGUGGAGGAUUCUUCUGGUGUUUCCUGUGUGAGGCAAGUGCAGCAGAGGGUGUAUGGGAGAAAGCCAGGGUGUGCUAGGCAGGGCAGCUGCAGCUUGUGUCUGUGUUGUGUGUAGCUGUGAUACUUUUUUUUUCCUCAGGUCUUGAUGUCACUGUUGUUCUUUGUGCUCAAGGAGCACAGCCCAUACUGUGCAGCAGUAGAGCGAUAGGCAUCCAUUGUCUUUUGCCUGGCGUGACUCAUCGGCAUCCUGCCAAGGAAUCCUGUCUCAUUCUGUGUGGCCAGCUAGAAGGGGCGGUCCGUCGCUCAGGCUUUGCAUCCCGGUCAUUUGCGGCCAAUCAUUUCCGCGGUCGUCAUCCAGGCCUUGUCAGCUCUCGUCUUCUGGGACCGCUCUUGUUUUGCAUCUUACUGGCACCCUUUCAGGGUUCUCUUCCCUGUACAGCCACAGCUCGGGGUCUUCCGUGGCCGGCUGCUUUGGCAUCAACUCUCCUGCCUUUGUCGGCACCUUUGCAUCAUGGACGCUGGUAUUUGACUCUCUUGUGGACUUGUCCAGAGCAUCAGAGCUGCACAGCUGUGGCAUUGUAGGACUUUCUGGCUAGCAAAGUCGUGUGUGUGUGUUUCUUUUUGUGUAGGACUCUGCUUUGUGUUUGUGUCUGUCCGUCCGUUUGGGGCUGGAGCUGCCUUGCCUGUGGGUGUUAGGAAUGGUAGGAUGUAGAGUGUGGCAGGGAUGGCUCAGAACAUUGAUCCGCCAGCCUGUGCGCUCCCCUUUAUGCUGUUUUGCAGAUGUGCUGCAGCAGCCCAUGUGCCCAAGGGAGACGAAGGAAGCGAGAGGCAUCUCCACUCUUAGGUUCAGGUGCAGAGCAGCAUUCCCAGUGGGCUGAAGGGAGACGGAGGAAGAAAGGGGCAUGGUCUUAGAAGAUGAGGAGCAAUGCGGAGGCCAGAUUACUCACACCCAGGCAGAAUACGGCAAGGUUUUGCAGAAAGCUGUGGAAAGAAGUUGAGUGCUGGCAAGAGCCUGAGCAGAUGCUGCGGGUGGCCCAUCCAGCCGCAGUGUUGGAGUUUGGAAGUGUUGUAGUGAAGGUG